This 484-nucleotide ribosomal RNA is filed under the name uncultured bacterium. Its description in RNAcentral is "partial 16S ribosomal RNA". It matches the Rfam family "Bacterial small subunit ribosomal RNA", at positions 28 to 507 of the family's 1533-position model. The record is from RNAcentral.
AUUGAACGCUGGCGGCAUGCUUUACACAUGCAAGUCGAACGGCAGCGCGGGCUUCGGCCCGGCGGCGAGUGGCGCACGGGUGAGUAAUGCAUCGGAACGUGCCCAGUAGUGGGGGAUAGCGCGGCGAAAGCCGGAUUAAUACCGCAUACGACCUGCGCGUGAAAGCGGGGGACCGAAAGGCCUCGCGCUAUUGGAGCGGUCGAUGGCGGAUUAGCUGGUUGGUGGGGUAAAGGCUUACCAAGGCGACGAUCCGUAGCUGGUCUGAGCGGACGACCAGCCACACUGGGACUGAGACACGGCCCAGACUCCUACGGGAGGCAGCAGCUGGGAAUUUUGGACAAUGGGGGCAACCCUGAUCCAGCCAUGCCGCGUGCUGGAAGAAGGCCUUCGGGUUGUAAACCGCUUUUGUUCGGGAAGAAAUCCUCUGGGCUAAUACCCCGGGGGGAUGACGGUACCGGAAGAAUAAGCACCGGCUAACUACGUG